Molecule: ribosomal RNA, 191 nt
Filed under: uncultured Sphingobacterium sp.
Lineage: Bacteria; Pseudomonadati; Bacteroidota; Sphingobacteriia; Sphingobacteriales; Sphingobacteriaceae
Description: partial 16S ribosomal RNA
Rfam family: Bacterial small subunit ribosomal RNA
Source: RNAcentral
UUCCUACGGGAGGCAGCAGUAAGGAAUAUUGGUCAAUGGGCGGAAGCCUGAACCAGCCAUGCCGCGUGCAGGAUGACUGCCCUAUGGGUUGUAAACUGCUUUUGUCCAGGAAUAAACCUAAAUACGUGUAUUUAGCUGAAUGUACUGGAAGAAUAAGGAUCGGCUAACUCCGUGCCAGCAGCCGCGGUAAU